RNAcentral lists this ribosomal RNA (434 nucleotides) under uncultured bacterium. RNAcentral describes it as "bacterial SSU rRNA". It matches the Rfam family "Bacterial small subunit ribosomal RNA", at positions 954 to 1392 of the family's 1533-position model. The record is from RNAcentral.
GCAUAACGCGAAGAACCUUACCCACCUUUGACAUGUACGGAAUCCUUUAGAGAUAGAGGAGUGCUCGAAAGAGAGCCGUAACACAGGUGCUGCAUGGCUGUCGUCAGCUCGUGUCGUGAGAUGUUGGGUUAAGUCCCGCAACGAGCGCAACCCUUGCCAUUAGUUGCUACGAAAGGGCACUCUAAUGGGACUGCCGGUGACAAACCGGAGGAAGGUGGGGAUGACGUCAAGUCCUCAUGGCCCUUAUAGGUGGGGCUACACACGUCAUACAAUGGCUGGUACAGAGGGUUGCCAACCCGCGAGGGGGAGCUAAUCCCAUAAAGCCAGUCGUAGUCCGGAUCGCAGUCUGCAACUCGACUGCGUGAAGUCGGAAUCGCUAGUAAUCGCGAAUCAGAAUGUCGCGGUGAAUACGUUCCCGGGUCUUGUACACACCG